UCAGCGUCAGGAACCACGUCUAAUGCCGACGUCCUUUUGACGUAGAAUCCUUACGACAGCUGAUGCUGAUAUUUUGUUGGUUUAUAGUUUAGCCAUGCUGACCCGUAAUAAAGAUAAUAAUAUGAAAAACAUUAAUAACAAUAGCCAUGUAUUGAAAAAUGAUCAUCAAAUUGUAGAUUUGCAUUGGAUGUUCCAAGUCUGAACAAAUCAGAAACCAGUUUCUAAGCAGUAACAGUUAGGCUACAGUUUCCUCCGGAAAGAUACAAGAGUAAGUUUCCUGUUGGACAGAUUUCACCAGCGCACCAUCAGCUGUUUUUCCAGUGUCUGGACUUCAGCACCUGUUGUGGCAGCUUCAGACACCAGCAUGAGCCUGAUGUGGAGCAGGAGUCCUUCUCCUCCCCGCUGCACUGAGGCUCAGGCACAGCACCUGUGUGGCUCUGCGGAGCGGAAAAAAUGUCAGAAUGAAAGUUUGAACAAAGUUUCAAAGAUCUCUUACAGAGUGUCCAGAGGACUACAGAGGAAAAAGAGACAAAGAUUGUGGCGGCUGUUGCCUUCUGCCUGAAGUAUGCCCCAGACCGGGUGGCUGGAGGGGCAGGAAGAAACUUUGAAAAUGUUACAAUAAAAGGUUAUUUUGAUAACCCAUUGCAUGUCUUUGUCAUUUAUCCAGUAAAACUGCCAAACAUUUGUGGAUUUGUCCAGCAUUUGUCUGACAUUGGAUCUUGACAUCUGUCUGACCUUGGUAUUACAUGA
Molecule: long non-coding RNA, 750 nt
Organism: Pangasianodon hypophthalmus (striped catfish)
Lineage: Eukaryota; Metazoa; Chordata; Actinopteri; Siluriformes; Pangasiidae
Exons: 3
Source: RefSeq, a predicted model, not a curated record